UCGCUACGCCGAAUACACAAGGACGAAGAAGGGGACAGAGACGAAGCGCUUCGUCUCUGUCUCCUUCUUCGUCCUUGUGUAUUCGGCGCUUUCC
RNAcentral lists this microRNA precursor (94 nucleotides) under Ixodes scapularis (black-legged tick). Its description in RNAcentral is "microRNA MIR1846". Lineage: Eukaryota; Metazoa; Arthropoda; Arachnida; Ixodida; Ixodidae. The record is from RNAcentral.